Molecule: long non-coding RNA, 219 nt
Organism: Sander lucioperca (pikeperch)
Lineage: Eukaryota; Metazoa; Chordata; Actinopteri; Perciformes; Percidae
Exons: 2
Source: RefSeq, a predicted model, not a curated record
CUAGCAGACCCCGCCACUAACCAGGAUAAACUAUUCUAUAAAGAGGUAAUUACAGAAUGUAAAUGCAUUGAAAGGUGAUUGCAGAAAAAAAUGGGGUUUUACUUUGUGAAAAUCUUUAACUUGUUUGAAUCCUUAAUGUCUAAAGGUCUGAUUCUUUGUUGGGAAGCAGAAUUUAUUUGUGCCCAAACCCAUCAUUCCAAUACAGAUAAAUUACUACAG